This 822-nucleotide long non-coding RNA is filed under the name Ficedula albicollis (Collared flycatcher). RNAcentral describes it as "lncRNA (ENSFALG00000029038.1)". Lineage: Eukaryota; Metazoa; Chordata; Aves; Passeriformes; Muscicapidae. The record is from RNAcentral.
CCCCCCCCCCCCCCCCCCCCCCCCCCCCCCCCCCCCCCCCCCCCCCCCCCCCCCCCCCCCCCCCCCCCCCCCCCCCCCCCCCCCCCCCCCGGGGGGGGGGGGAGGUGGCACCGUCCCUGUCCCUGUCCCCAGGGCUCCCAGUGGCUCCCAGUAAGUCCCAGUUCCCAGGAGUGGCCCCGCAGCCCAAAGGGACAGGAGGGGACAGCAGGACACCGCCCCAAAGUCCCCGUGUCCCCUCCAGGGUCCUUGGCACAGCAGGGAGCAGCGGUGGCACCUCCUGGUGUCACCUCAGGUGUUACUGCCUGGUGGCACCUCUGAUGUCACCUCUGGUGUCACCUCCUGGUGUCACCUCAGGUGUUACUGCCUGGUGGCACCUCUGAUGUCACCUCAGGUGUUGCUGCCUGGUGGCAGCUCCUGGUGGCACCUCCAAGGUUCUUCAGUGUCACAUCCCAGGUGUCCCCAGUGUCCCCAGUGUCCCCGGUGUCCCCAGUGUCACAAGGUGAAGAUCUCGUCCUCGCUGUCCCCGGUGUCCCCAGUGUCCCCGGUGUCCCCAGUGUCCCCAGUGUCACAAGGUGGCGAUCUCCUCCUCGCUGUCCCCGGUGUCCCCAGUGUCACAAGGUGAAGAUCUCGUCCUCGCUGUCCCCAGUGUCCCCAGUGUCCCCAGUGUCACAAGGUGAAGAUCUCGCCCUCGCUGUCCCCAGUGUCCCCAGUGUCCCCAGUGUCCCCCCCCCCCCCCCCCCCCCCCCCCCCCCCCCCCCCCCCCCCCCCCCCCCCCCCCCCCCCCCCCCCCCCCCCCCCCCCCCCCCCCCCCCCCCCCCCCCC